AUUGAACGCUAGCGGGAUGCUUUACACAUGCAAGUCGAACGGCAGCGCGGACUUCGGUCUGGCGGCGAGUGGCGAACGGGUGAGUAAUGUAUCGGAACGUGCCCAGUAGCGGGGGAUAACUACGCCAAAGCGUAGCUAAUACCGCAUACGCCCUACGGGGGAAAGCAGGGGAUCGUAAGACCUUGCACUAUUGGAGCGGCCGAUAUCGGAUUAGCUAGUUGGUGAGGUAACGGCUCACCAAGGCGACGAUCCGUAGCUGGUUUGAGAGGACGACCAGCCACACUGGGACUGAGACACGGCCCAGACUCCUACGGGAGGCAGCAGUGGGGAAUUUUGGACAAUGGGGGCAACCCUGAUCCAGCCAUCCCGCGUGUGCGAUGAAGGCCUUCGGGUUGUAAAGCACUUUUGGCAGGAAAGAAACGUCGCGGGCUAAUACCCCGUGGAACUGACGGUACCUGCAGAAUAAGCACCGGCUAACUACGUG
This 484-nucleotide ribosomal RNA is filed under the name uncultured bacterium. RNAcentral describes it as "partial 16S ribosomal RNA". It matches the Rfam family "Bacterial small subunit ribosomal RNA", at positions 30 to 507 of the family's 1533-position model. The record is from RNAcentral.